RNAcentral lists this long non-coding RNA (892 nucleotides) under Lepisosteus oculatus (spotted gar). RNAcentral describes it as "lncRNA (ENSLOCG00000022536.1)". The record is from RNAcentral. Lineage: Eukaryota; Metazoa; Chordata; Actinopteri; Semionotiformes; Lepisosteidae.
AUGUGAAGUUACAGAGGAGCUGGACUGAGUGUCUCUCCAGUAUCUCCUGCUCUGAUGGGGAGGGGUGUUCAUGUGAAGUUACAGAGGAGCUGGACUGAGUGUCUCUCCAGUAUCUCCAGCUCUGAUGGGGGGGGGUGUUCAUGUGAAGUUACAGAGGAGCUGGACUGAGUGUCUCUCCAGUAUCUCCAGCUCUGAUGGGGAGGAGUGUUCAUGUGAAACACUGAUAGAUCAUUCUGGAUGGAUUCCUUAUCAGCGUGUCUGUAUUAACCCAACUUCUCUUGUCUGUUUCCCUCUGAAGGUUCUGUUGACCAGUUAGAGGAAAUUCUGUCCCAGUAUGAGGAGCUGAAAUCCACCCAUGAGCUGGUAGACGCUGCGCGCAGAGCUUUAAUUUCCAGGGUGGAGGAACUGACCAAUGAGAGAGCAGCCCUGAGCCUGGAGGUGGGAUCUGCCCAGGAGACUGUUGCCCGAUUGGAGGGAAAACUGAAGGAGAUGGAGGAGGAAGUGAGGCGGCUUCGUAAAGAGCUGGACGAGUGUCAGAGCGAGGACCCAGAGGCCUCCCUCCCACUCUCCCUGCGCCAGCGCUUCUCCCGCUCGGAGAUGGCCAGGGUGGUGAUGGAGAGGAACCAGUACAAGGAGAAACUGAUCGACCUGCAGGACGCCCUGAGGCGCACACAGCAGCUCCGGUGCGGUCUCUGUCUCCGGUCCUGCUCCGUCCCUGUCCCUCCUCUCUCCCUCCUCUCUCUCCCUCCUCUCUCUCCCUCCUCUCUCUCCUGAGUCUCUCUCCUGAGUCUCUCUCCUGAGUCUCUGCCCGAUGUCACUGUGCUUCACUGCUCUUGUGUGUCCGGAAGUCUGUCCCCCUGUCCACCUGACGGAUUGCUCUUGUCCUGCGUCU